GACGAACCGUGCGAACGUUGUUCGGAUUCACUGGGCUUAAAGGGCGCGUAGGCGGUCGACCAAGUCUGGGGUGAAAUCUUUCGGCUUAACCGGAAAAGUGCCCCCGAUACUGGCCGGCUAGAGGGAGAUAGGGGCAUGUGGAACUUCCGGUGGAGCGGUGAAAUGCGUAGAUAUCGAGAGGAACACCUGCGGCGAAGGCGGGUUGCUGGGCCGACACUGACGCUGAGGCGCGAAAGCCAGGGGAGCGAACGGG
Molecule: ribosomal RNA, 253 nt
Filed under: uncultured bacterium
Lineage: Bacteria
Description: partial 16S ribosomal RNA
Rfam family: Bacterial small subunit ribosomal RNA
Source: RNAcentral